AACACAUGCAAGUCGAACGAGAAAGUGGAGCAAUCCAUGAGUAAAGUGGCGCACGGGUGAGUAACACGUGACUAACCUACCCUCGAGUGGGGAAUAACCUCGGGAAACCGGGGCUAACACCGCAUAAUAUCUACGGAUCAAAUGCGUAAGCAGCUUGAGGAGGGGGUCGCGGCUGAUUAGCUAGUUGGCGGGGUAAUGGCCCACCAAGGCAGUGAUCAGUAGCCGGCCUGAGAGGGCGCACGGCCACACUGGAACUGAAACACGGUCCAGACUCCUAGGGGAGGCAGCAGUGGGGAAUUUUGCGCAAUGGGGGAAACCCUGACGCAGCAACGCCGCGUGGAGGAUGAAGCCCCUUGGGGUGUAAACUCCUUUCGAUCGGGACGAUUAUGACGGUACCGGAAGAAGAAG
Molecule: ribosomal RNA, 408 nt
Filed under: grassland soil clone sl2_715
Lineage: Bacteria
Description: bacterial SSU rRNA
Rfam family: Bacterial small subunit ribosomal RNA
Source: RNAcentral